GGAAGUUAAAAAACGUAACAAGGUUUCCGUAGGUGAACCUGCGGAAGGAUCAUUACCGAGUGUAGGGUUCCUAGCGAGCCCAACCUCCCACCCGUGUUUACUGUACCUUAGUUGCUUCGGCGGGCCCGCCAUUCAUGGCCGCCGGGGGCUCUCAGCCCCGGGCCCGCGCCCGCCGGAGACACCACGAACUCUGUCUGAUCUAGUGAAGUCUGAGUUGAUUGUAUCGCAAUCAGUUAAAACUUUCAACAAUGGAUCUCUUGGUUCCGGCAUCGAUGAAGAACGCAGCGAAAUGCGAUAACUAGUGUGAAUUGCAGAAUUCCGUGAAUCAUCGAGUCUUUGAACGCACAUUGCGCCCCCUGGUAUUCCGGGGGGCAUGCCUGUCCGAGCGUCAUUGCUGCCCAUCAAGCACGGCUUGUGUGUUGGGUCGUCGUCCCCUCUCCGGGGGGGACGGGCCCCAAAGGCAGCGGCGGCACCGCGUCCGAUCCUCGAGCGUAUGGGGCUUUGUCACCCGCUCUGUAGGCCCGGCCGGCGCUUGCCGAACGCAAAUCAAUCUUUCCAGGUGACCUCUAGCACCAAGUACUCGUGCC
RNAcentral lists this ribosomal RNA (587 nucleotides) under Alternaria sp. RNAcentral describes it as "eukaryotic LSU rRNA". The stretch from base 238 to 391 matches the Rfam family "5.8S ribosomal RNA". Lineage: Eukaryota; Fungi; Ascomycota; Dothideomycetes; Pleosporales; Pleosporaceae. The record is from RNAcentral.